RNAcentral lists this RNase P RNA (447 nucleotides) under Rubrivivax sp. Its description in RNAcentral is "RNase P RNA component class A". It matches the Rfam family "Bacterial RNase P class A". From Rfam's summary of the family: Ribonuclease P (RNase P) is a ubiquitous endoribonuclease, found in archaea, bacteria and eukarya as well as chloroplasts and mitochondria. Lineage: Bacteria; Pseudomonadati; Pseudomonadota; Betaproteobacteria; Burkholderiales; Sphaerotilaceae. The record is from RNAcentral.
GAAGCAGGCCAGACCGCCGCUGGUGCAAGCGUCGAAAGACGGCACUGGAGGAAGGUCCGGACUGCACAGGGCAGCGUAGCAGCUAACGGCUGUCCACCGCGAGGUGAGGAUCAGAGCAACAGAGACGAGUCAGAGCAGGGCUCCCGCCGAGGGUGUUCUGUCCGUCGCCGGCGCAAGCCGGCGGUCCGAGCGGCUUGCCGCGAGGGCCCGGGCGCAAGCCCGGAGCGGACAGCCACCCAAAGCGGGGCAAAGCCCCGCUUUGGGUGAAACGGGCAAUCUCUACGCGCAGCAACACCAAAUAGGCCGGCAUUGAUGUGGCUCCGCGGAGCCGGCGGGUAGGUGGCACCGAGCCGGGCGAGCGAUCCCCGGCCCAGAGGAAUGGCGGUCACGCCGGCGUCUCGCAAGAGCGCCGGUGCACAGAAUCCGGCCUAUCGGCUUGCUUCACAC